Molecule: ribosomal RNA, 251 nt
Filed under: uncultured prokaryote
Description: partial 16S rRNA
Rfam family: Bacterial small subunit ribosomal RNA
Source: RNAcentral
ACGGAGGGUGCAAGCGUUAAUCGGAAUCACUGGGCGUAAAGCGCGCGUAGGCGGUUUGGUAAGUCAGAUGUGAAAGCCCUCGGCUUAACCGGGGAACUGCAUUUGAUACUGCAAGACUUGAGUGCCGGAGAGGGGGGCGGAAUUCCGGGUGUAAGAGUGAAAUGCGUAGAUAUGCGGAGGAACACCAGUGGCGAAGGCGGCCACCUGGACGACAACUGACGCUGAGGCGCGAAAGCGUGGGGAGCAAACAG